GUGCCCUCUGUGACUGAUAGUCCACUAACAAGUGUAAUGAACCAGUGGUUAUACAAAAAUUUAAAGUAUAAUAUUGGUGUAUGCAAUAAUUCUAUGCCUGAGAGCUUACAUAGGCUAUGCCUGUUGCCCAAUCCAAUUAAAUUUAUUUGAAUAAAAUAUUGUUUAAACUAAUUCUAUACAUUGAAUGAAUAAAGGUAACAUAUGUACCCACUAUUUGUAUAAAGCUUUAUAUAUCAGAUGGUAGAUAGCUGGUAAACCGCUUAUAGUGGCAGAGUAAUUUACUAAGCCUCAAAAACUGAACAUUGGAAAACUAAAUUAUAUAAUGAGGCACAUCAUCUAUAUAAAUGUUAAAGAGGGGUCUUCCCAAUAUUAAUUUAUCAAGCUAGGUUUAGUAAAGGUUGAA
Molecule: long non-coding RNA, 403 nt
Filed under: Mytilus galloprovincialis (Mediterranean mussel)
Lineage: Eukaryota; Metazoa; Mollusca; Bivalvia; Mytilida; Mytilidae
Source: RNAcentral